RNAcentral lists this long non-coding RNA (225 nucleotides) under Carica papaya (papaya). RNAcentral describes it as "long non-coding RNA (CPAP_LNC012445)". The record is from RNAcentral. Lineage: Eukaryota; Viridiplantae; Streptophyta; Magnoliopsida; Brassicales; Caricaceae.
AUGAUUAAUUUGCCUCUUAUUUUUUCCUUGCCUCAUUCGAGUUUGGUUCACAUGGAUAAAAGCCUGAGUACUGAACAUUCCUCUUAUGUACAAGCCGUGGGCAUGGCUAUCUCUACACCUAGAGAUGUGGGUGGGUGUAACUCUGGACAGUAAGAUGUGGGCACAACUAAUACUAUGCAAACUCCUCAACAUUGUGAUGUUGUUGCCACUUCUACUCACAUUAAU